RNAcentral lists this ribosomal RNA (253 nucleotides) under uncultured prokaryote. RNAcentral's name for it is "partial 16S ribosomal RNA". It matches the Rfam family "Bacterial small subunit ribosomal RNA", at positions 525 to 777 of the family's 1533-position model. The record is from RNAcentral.
ACAGAGGUGGCGACCGUUGUUUGGAAUCACUGGGCAUAAAGCGCGUGUAGGCGGCAUCGUAAGUCGGGUGUGAAAUCCCUCGGCCUAACCGAGGAAUUGCGCCCGAAACUACCUUGCUUGAGGACCAGAGGGGAGCCUGGAAUUCCUGGUGGAGCGGUGAAAUGCGUUGAUAUCAGGAGGAACACCGGCGGCGAAGGCGGCUGGCUGGACCUGACCUGACGCUGAGGCGCGAAGGCGUGGGGAGCGAACGGGA